RNAcentral lists this unclassified non-coding RNA (170 nucleotides) under uncultured Hypocreales. Its description in RNAcentral is "sequence contains ITS2". The record is from RNAcentral. Lineage: Eukaryota; Fungi; Ascomycota; Sordariomycetes; Hypocreales.
GGACCCUCGGGACCCCUGUGGAUUUCCGCAGCGGGGCCCGGUGUUGGGGUUUCGCGGCUGCCGCGCACCCCUAAAUCCAGUGGCGGACCCCACUGUGGCCCUGGCGUAGUAAAUUUUCCUCGCUCUCGGUUGCAGUGGUGGCCCUGCCCCCAGCACCAACUAUUCUCAAA